GCGCGCGCGUCGCGCACUAUUAUAAGAAUCGAGCGAAUCUCCCGCCGGCUCAUAACAAGUCUGAUAUUUACUGUGAACACACGUACACAGAUCCUUCAAAAUGUAUACGAAUCCAUUUGAAAGAAAACAUUCAGCGCUAAGGCAGGCCCUGGAUCGUUUCAUCCGGGGUGAGACGAGAAUAAGCUUCAGGACUAAGAAGCCAACAUUGAAAAACAACGGGAGCAAUUCGUCAAUUGGAUCUGCAACAACAAUGGACUUCAAUACUAAAUAUAAUCAGAAAAGAUGAACUUAAGUGAUGUGAUUAGUGCCAGUGAUUAUAAUUUGCACGAUCCGUUAUAAAAUAAGGUCGGAUCGGACCGGAUUCAAUACUUUGACGUCAAUAAGCUUAAAUGGGGUCAAUAUUGUAUCGUCAUUAGUUUGGUCGAUGGAAAUAAUACUUGAAUGUAUUAGUAUUUGAUGUUAUAAAAUAUUAAAAAAUAAUCAAACAAA
This is a long non-coding RNA of Papilio xuthus (Asian swallowtail), 489 nucleotides long. RefSeq lists it as uncharacterized. Lineage: Eukaryota; Metazoa; Arthropoda; Insecta; Lepidoptera; Papilionidae. The transcript is spliced from 2 exons. The record is from RefSeq and is a predicted model, not a curated record.